AGAGACAGCAGUCGCCGCGGUAAUACGUAGGUGGCAAGCGUUGUCCGGAAUUAUUGGGCGUAAAGGGCUCGCAGGCGGUUUCUUAAGUCUGAUGUGAAAGCCCCCGGCUCAACCGGGGAGGGUCAUUGGAAACUGGGAAGCUUGAGUGCAGAAGAGGAGAGUGGAAUUCCACGUGUAGCGGUGAAAUGCGUAGAGAUGUGGAGGAACACCAGUGGCGAAGGCGACUCUCUGGUCUGUAACUGACGCUGAGGAGCGAAAGCGUGGGGAGCGAACAGGAUUAGAUACCCCCGUAGUCCCUGUCUCUUAUAC
This 309-nucleotide ribosomal RNA is filed under the name uncultured bacterium. RNAcentral's name for it is "partial 16S ribosomal RNA". It matches the Rfam family "Bacterial small subunit ribosomal RNA", at positions 504 to 807 of the family's 1533-position model. The record is from RNAcentral.